AAACCGUUCAGGGGUAAACCUGAGAAACCCAAAAGAUCGAAUGGGGAGACUCAGCGUCAGCCGCUUGUUGGCUUGCGUGCGGCUCGCGAUGCUCUCGGGUGGCCUUUCACGAGGUUUUUCACGAGGGCACGCGGUCGCUGCGUCAUGUCCGGCGCGGUCGGCGUGCACUUCUCCCCUAGUAGGACGUCGCGACCCGUUGGGUGUCGACCGACGGCCCGCGAGGUAGCCUGGGGCGCAGCGCGUUAAUAGCGCGCUCGCGUCUCAGACCCGCGUGUGCCCGGCUCGACUGCCCGGCGGUAGAGAUCGCUUAUGAUAAUGGUAUGGGGUCGCACGCUCAUGUAAAUCUGCGAUGCGUUUCGGCCCGUCGACAGACUGGCCUCGCUCGGCGUUUACGGACCUGGUGCCGUUGCCGAGCGCUUGGUCGGUCCAAUUCGACGGUGUCCUCGAACGGGCCCUGCUUUAAAACAUACCCGUCGGCGACGCUACUGCUUUGGGUACUUUCAGGACCCGUCUUGAAACACGGACCAAGGAGUCUAACAUGUGCGCGAGUCAUUGGGACUUGAAACAAAGCCUAAAGGCGCAAUGAAAGUGAAGGUCCGCUUUGAUGCGCGACCGAGGGAGGAUGGCUCCCGCCACGACGCGGAGCCCGCACUCCCGGGGCGUCUCGUGCUCAUUGCGAGCUGAGGCGCACCCAGAGCGUACACGUUGGGACCCGAAAGAUGGUGAACUAUGCCUGGUCAGGACGAAGUCAGGGGAAACCCUGAUGGAGGUCCGUAGCGAUUCUGACGUGCAAAUCGAUCGUCGGAACUGGGUAUAGGGGCGAAAGACUAAUCGAACCAUC
RNAcentral lists this ribosomal RNA (841 nucleotides) under Megaphragma digitatum. Its description in RNAcentral is "partial large subunit ribosomal RNA". It matches the Rfam family "Eukaryotic large subunit ribosomal RNA", at positions 402 to 944 of the family's 3401-position model. The record is from RNAcentral. Lineage: Eukaryota; Metazoa; Arthropoda; Insecta; Hymenoptera; Trichogrammatidae.